GAGGGAAAGUUGCAAAGCACUUUGAAGAGAGAGUUAAAGAGGACGUGAAACCGGUAGGAUGGAAACGGAUAGAGCUAGCGAAGCUGUCUGUAUUCAGUCAAGAGCUGUGGCUACAAGGUCUUCUGGUUGUUUAAACUCCAGUUGGCUCUGUCUGUCGUUGCUGAGAUGUAUUGCAGGCGGUUGCGCUGAGACUUGUGGGGCAGUGGUUGGAUGCUUGACUAGAGGCUUCUCUCUGGGUUGAACCUGGUCUUGCUUACAGCUAUUUGUUCUACUCGUACUGACUUGGUGCCUGAGUGCUGUCAGUCGUGUUCGGAUUUGGGGUCACAUGUGACUGCUGGUUCCGGGCAUAGCUGCGGUGUUUGGGUUCCCAAGUUGCCUCUCGGUGUAGAAGCUGGUCAUCUAUCCGACCCGUCUUGAAACACGGACCAAGGAGUUUAGCGUAUACGCGAGCCAUUGGGCGUUGAAAACCCACAGGCACAAUGAAAGUGAAGGCUCGCUUGUCGAGCUUACAUGUGAGUGGGAAGUCCACGGACAACCACGCAACAUGGUCCCGUCCUGAUUGCUUGCAAUGGGACGGAGAUAGAGCGUAUGCGCUGAGACCCGAAAGAUGGUGAACUAUUCCUGAGCAGGAAGAAGCCAGAGGAAACUCUGGUGGAAGUCCGAAGCGAUUCUGACGUGCAAAUCGAUCGUCUGACUUGGUAUA
RNAcentral lists this ribosomal RNA (703 nucleotides) under Paratylenchus salubris. RNAcentral describes it as "partial large subunit ribosomal RNA". It matches the Rfam family "Eukaryotic large subunit ribosomal RNA", at positions 355 to 919 of the family's 3401-position model. The record is from RNAcentral. Lineage: Eukaryota; Metazoa; Nematoda; Chromadorea; Rhabditida; Tylenchulidae.